Non-coding RNA from Paramuricea clavata, 1876 nucleotides. NCBI's taxonomy places the organism in Eukaryota, Metazoa, Cnidaria, Anthozoa, Malacalcyonacea, Plexauridae. The record is from the annotation of a GenBank genome assembly.
CUUCGGUAAUUUUCCGUUCUACAGAUCCUUUUGUUCUUUUUAAAACCUUAACAAACAGUUUAGGUUUUUGUCCGUAAUGUUGGUCGAGAUAGUCUUUCGAGAAAGCCAUGUUUUUAUAAGACUUUGCUUUCGGAUUUGCUGCGGAACAAAAUGUUCUUGGUAUCGAACCACCAAGGUUUCUAUAACAGCUAAUGCAUCCGUGUUGGAUGCAUAUUCUUCGCGUUUUGUACAGAUGUGGAGUUCUUAUUGAUGAUUGUAAGUAAUGGGUAAUAAGUAUUGGGCCAGGCCAGCGAUUUGUUCGAGAAAAAGUUAGAAGUAUUGAUAUUCGCUUACGAAUGACUAUAAUUUCUAUGUGUACUUGCAGUACUUUCGUCACGAAACUAUGAGGAAAGUCAUUAUGCUCGGUGGCAACUUGCAGCAAUGUCUAGUUAUAAUGUUGGGGUCAGGUGUCAAUUGGGACGCAAGUCCUGUUCCUUUCCUCAGUCACACUUGUGUCCUCUGUUUAUUGUACAUGCAUGCGUAAUGAUUGUGUUGUGACAAAUGAUUAAAUUAAAUGAUCAUAUCACCAUAUACUGUACAUUUAUUUAUUUAACUUCGCCAUUAUCAUGCAUUCAUGGCAGGGUCACCACAACAGUAUGGUACCAAUUACUGUGGGCCCUUUAAAUAGAUAACAAGACGCUUGACAGAGCGUUAACUCGCUGGGGCUCUAGAACUUGUCCCCUGUUGCAAAAUUGCCGUGUCCGCGUAGCGAACGGAAGUGACCCAACAAGGACAAAAAUACCAUUGUUCGAAUCAGCGUACGAAAUUGUACUUACGGAUGCCAAAUUCAUUACUAAACAGCAGUAUUCUAGAGAUUUAUGGCCUUUGAAAGUCAAGCGAAAUUAUUUGUUCACAAUUGACAAAUCGCUCAAAAUUAUUAUUUAACUAAACGCAGUACGUUUGACCUUGAUAACUGUUGUAUCGUUGGUAUUCUCUUUUUUUGGACGUAUAUUUCAAUGGGUUUGUCUCACCGUUCUCUUCAUUUUGAUAGCAUUUGAUUCGACAAUAGUUUAUCUUGAAGGUUGAAAGCGACAUUUUAACCAAGCGUACGAAACAACUGCCGACCGACAGGUUUACGCCGAAAAGUUUUAUUCGUUGUGCACCGCAAUUUAGUACUGUGGCUGGUCUUAUAAAAGCAUAGUUACCACUUUGCAGUCUUUAUAUAUCGACUUUAUUUCAUAAUUUUCAUUGCAUCGCUGUCUUUGACAGUUUUGACUUUGUAUUUCUGUCUUUGUCGGGCUAUAAGAUGUCAUUUUGACUGCUUAACAGGAUUUACUUGGCAUUAAUACAUCUCCAAAUUCAUUAUUCUUUUCGUUGAAUUCUCAUUGCCGUAAAAAAGCAGUUUUAAAAGAACGUAGUACAGGAGCUUUGGCAUUUUUUAGUAAAAUUCUUGAAUUUUUCUCAAAACUUAGGGUAUUUAUGGAUAAUUUGGGUAAAAAUUGGCAGGAGCCUUAUGGAUAAUUUGGGUAAAAUUUGGCAGCUCAUUAACAUUCUAUUUUGCGGAGAAAAAUGUUAGCCGAAACCUAUACUCGCCAGGGCACAGUUCCCCAGCGAGUAAUAAAGCACAAAUAAAACACAACGAAAACUUCGAUUUACCUGUUCAAAGUCAUCACACGAAUUGAAACUUGAAGCUAAGGAAACAAAUUCCUCGAAGUUUCCAUUGUAUUGUAUUUCACAAACAUACUUAAUUAGCGGCUCGCAAUUUUAUAAAAAAAUAUAACAAUUAAUAGAAUAUAUAUUAAUAGAAUACUAUUGAAACAUAAUAAACAAGGCUAGGAAAUACAAAACAAGUGAAACUCCAAAAAUCGAUAACAUUUUUAUUUAUCUACGUUUCGAC